This 840-nucleotide long non-coding RNA is filed under the name Mytilus galloprovincialis (Mediterranean mussel). The record is from RNAcentral. Lineage: Eukaryota; Metazoa; Mollusca; Bivalvia; Mytilida; Mytilidae.
CCCGGCGAAAGCAACGUAUCAUUCGGAAACUUCCAGGUUGAUGCGUUUACUACAACGAUAAAUCCUUAUAAACAGACGAGUGCUGUCCCCUGAUUUAUUAUUACAUAUCGAGCGCAAAAUUAUUAACCAUGUUAACGAAUAGAACCUUUCUUCAAACGGGGUAACAUAAAUCAUUGACUUUUUCGUAGACACAUCAAUAAAAUGAAGAAGUUACUUAAAAUAUUGACACGUUCAAUGGGAUUUAUAAGGUUUACUAACAGUACCAGGAUAUAAAAAAAAGGGGGAGGGCCGGUUGGUAGGUCAACUUGGAGUAAUACUUUGAAAAAGUAUAUUAACUUAUCAUACAUGCAUGUAUGAAGUUCAAUCAGUAGGCCCCUUUUCCAUAUACAUACAUACUCCUCUGAUUAUAUAAGUGUUGUACUGCAUAAAUCCAUGAUUUGAAAAAUAUCAGGACGAUGUCAGAAGAUCUCAGAAAUACAACCCGAUAGUUUGGGACAAUCAUUUGAUAUUUUCAAUGGGCGGAAGGAUAGGAGGAUAAUCUGAUAUUGAAACAAUACAUGCACUAACUGUUCAAAGACAUUUUUGUUUGAUAUUUAAUUUAUAUGAAGGAUAUCUUGGUGUGGCGUAGGUAUGAAGUUAGGGGACAGCACUCGUCUGUUUAUAAGGAUUUAUCGUUGUAGUAAACGCAUCAACCCGGAAGUUUCCGAAUGAUACGUUGCUUUCGCCGGGAAAUUUGAAUUUUCUGACACGAAUGCAACUGAAACUGCGUAAGGGUUCUGUUAAUCCACAAAUCAAAAUAUGCAUGUGAUAGAAGAAUAAUUUCGGAAGAAAAUGAGGGCU